RNAcentral lists this ribosomal RNA (808 nucleotides) under uncultured Pelagibacteraceae bacterium. Its description in RNAcentral is "bacterial SSU rRNA". It matches the Rfam family "Bacterial small subunit ribosomal RNA", at positions 33 to 889 of the family's 1533-position model. The record is from RNAcentral. Lineage: Bacteria; Pseudomonadati; Pseudomonadota; Alphaproteobacteria; Candidatus Pelagibacterales; Candidatus Pelagibacteraceae.
ACGCUGGCGGCACGCUUAACACAUGCAAGUCGAACGCAGUAGCAAUACUGAGUGGCAGACGGGUGAGUAUAAUGUGGGAAUCUGCCUUUUGGUUCGGAAUAACUCGGGGAAACCUGAGCUAAUACCGGAUAAGCCCUUACGGGGAAAGAUUUAUCGCCAAAAGAUGAGCCCGCACUUGAUUAGCUUGUUGGUGAGGUAAAAGCUCACCAAGGCAACAAUCAAUAGCUGUUCUUAGAGGAAGACCAGCCACAUUGGGACUGAGACACGGCCCAGACUCCUACGGGAGGCAGCAGUGGGGAAUCUUGCACAAUGGGGGAAACCCUGAUGCAGCGAUGCCGCGUGAGUGAAGAAGGCCUUUGGGUUGUAAAACUCUUUCGUCGGGGAAGAAAAUGACUGUACCCGAAUAAGAAGGUCCGGCUAACUUCGUGCCAGCAGCCGCGGUAAUACGAAGGGACCUAGCGUAGUUCGGAAUUACUGGGCUUAAAGAGCUCGUAGGUGGUUAAAAAAGUUGGUGGUGAAAUCCCAAGGCUCAACCUUGGAACUGCCAUCAAAACUUUUUAGCUAGAGUAUGAUAGAGGAAAGUGGAAUUUCUAGUGUAGAGGUGAAAUUCGUAGAUAUUAGAAAGAACACCAAAUGCGAAGGCAACUUUCUGGAUCAUUACUGACACUGAGGAGCGAAAGCAUGGGUAGCGAAGAGGAUUAGAUACCCUCGUAGUCCAUGCUGUAAACGAUGUGUGCUAGACGUUGGAAAUUUUAUUUUCAGUGUCGCAGCAAAAGCGUUAAGCACACCGCCUGGGGAGUACGACCGC